GGAUUAUUCAACCCAUGGUGUAGAUGCGAACUCAACGGACAGUGCGGCUAAUUCUAAGGUGUGACACAUUACCUACCUGGCUGAGACUGCAGUUUACAGAGGGAUUAAGGAAACAAAGUGUGUGUGUGUGUGUGUGUGUGUCUACAUACACACAUACAUACACGGGUUUAUAACUGCCCCCCUACUUUUGUCCCUGGCCCAACAUGUGCCCCCAUCUAAAAAUGAAUCCUAACGAUGCCACUGAUCCCUGAAGGUUAGUUACUAAAGUGGGAAUUGUUGUGAAUGCGUAUAAGGUUAUUUAGCAAAGUGAGAAUCAUUAGGAAUUGUAAGUGAAUUCAAAGUAUAAUUCAUAUUUAGGGUCAGAGUAGCCUAAAUUUUUUUCGAGUUUUGCUGUUUUAGCGUUACAUUUGAAUUUCUCUUUGAUUUUCUGACAAUUCUAACUUUAGUUAAUAACCCUGUAAGUGAUGUUAAAAACAUAUGCCAAAAUAUUAAACUGAAAACAUAGAUGGCUUUUUCUCAUUUGUGACCUAAAAUUUCAAAUUAGCUUUGAAUUCUCACUAAUUCACAGCUGACUACACAAGAUUAUUUUCAGUUUGUGUAUUCACCAGAAAGUGUGAAUUCUUUGUUAGAUGGGACAUCAUUUUAAAUGUGCUGCCUAUCAAAUCCUUAUCAAUAUAAUAUGCCCAGGUGGAUCAGGCCAUUCUAGCCAUAAAAAUCCUUAUCAAUUUUAUAUGUCCAAUAUCAGACCAUUCUAGCCAUAAAAAAGAAAGACAAUGUAAUAUUUUAAUUAUGCAUUUUGUAGCGGUUUGCUUUGCACAGCAAAUACAUAGCAUGUGACUUUAAAAUCGCACCAUGUUAUUUUUUCCUGGCAGGUAUAUUUUCAAUGUGUGAUAAUUACAACUUUUGCAAAAUUGCAAGGUCAGUACACCAUUUAAAAACAAAUAACCUUUCUUUCAAGUUAGGUGACUGUGCAGCCCCUUUAAAUAUACAUACAUUAUAAAGAUGCACUCGGUGGGUAGCACUCAUUUUUAUACACCUACGAAAUAUGCAUUUUUCAGAAGUGCAAGAUAGAUUUUUCUAAAAUACCCUUAAUAAAAUGUUACAUAUAAAUAAUGAUCCUAAAGCAGAGCUGUCACCACCUGGGGACUUUGCAUUGUUUUCUAAGACCCCUGACUGUGCCAACGCUGCUGGGGGGCAGGAGGCAGCAGGCAAAGGUGGGCGUGGGCGCCGCUAUCUUCUCUCAGGGGGUUCUCUUCUCAUAUGCGCGUGAGUACAGAAUUAAAAAUCUAUGGAGGAUCCUGCGACAUACUGCAUAGACAGAGCCAAUUCCCUGCAGCUGUCAUUGAUGGCUGUGGGAUUUACACUUUUCCACGGGGAUAGCUCCACCCAGUGUCAAGAAGUGUCAGUCUCAUACUUUGUGUUAUGUUUUAAGUUAAAAAUGGAAGAAAACCGAGAAAAAGAAAGACAGAGUAGGAAAGUGGAAGUGAUUAGAAAAAGGUAUUACAAGUAGUAUAUUAUUGAUAGGAAUUGGAAAAUUGAAGGCUAAACUGAAGUGUAAAAAUAUUAACAUGUAGUCCUAUACUAUAGUGUUUUAGUAACUAUUUAAAUUCAGCCCGACCACCCCAGAAUGAAUAAAAAAAAAAAAAAAAAUUACCUUUAUUUCCCUUAGCGCAGGUCCCUACCUCCACAGCUGAGAGCAUUACUCCUUAUAUUCUCAGCCAAUCCAAUUCAUCACCAUAGGGAAACAUUGGGCGGUUAGUGCAUGCGCAGCAAAUGGUCCUGAUGAACCAAUCAGCAUCUCCUUAUAGAGAUGCAUUGAGUCAAUGCAACUCUAUAGGGAGCGUUCAGCAUCUCCAUGCAGAGCGUGGAGACGUUGAAUGUCGGUCGUGCAACCUUUUGCAAGUUCGUCUUGUGGAUGUGACAGCCACUAGAGGUGGACUUUGGAUGCAGUGUACACACUGACUUUUCUCUUAUAAGGCAACAUUUUUCUCGCUCAGCCUGCAGGGACAGUUUCUAUGACCCAGAACAAGUACAUUAAGUUGUGGUUGUUCUGGUGCCUACAGUGUCAAGUUUAGUGAAUCAAUUUUCCCUAAUGAAAAUCUGAAAAAAAAAAAAAAAUUAAAGCAAAAUAGCCAAGCAAUGACAAUAGGUGAGCUGCAAAAUAUUUACACAUUAGCUGUGUUGACCUCAAUAUUUCUGUUCAGAUUUGCUACAAUUCAGAGUUAAGUUAAUAUACCCUAUAGUAGACUAUUUUGUUUUUCUAUUCGAUGUCAAAUCUUUAAAGGUGCUCAUUUUUAGUGACAGUGGGAAGUAGCUUUUUUUUUUUUUAAUAGAUAGAUAUUUUUUUUUAGUAACUGUAGAGGGUGUGUUUUGUGAUCACCCCACACUGGUUUUGGAAUGUUAUCCUAUUAGGUUACAUUGCCAAUGUGUGACUGAUGCUAUAUAAAAUAUUUAUUUAACUGUUUACCGUAUUUGCUUGCUUGUAAUAAUUAUUGCAUCUUUAAUUUUUUUAUUAUUAUUAUUGACUACCCAACAUUCGGC
Non-coding RNA from Pelobates cultripes (western spadefoot toad), 2541 nucleotides. NCBI's taxonomy places the organism in Eukaryota, Metazoa, Chordata, Amphibia, Anura, Pelobatidae. The record is from the annotation of a GenBank genome assembly.